RNAcentral lists this ribosomal RNA (301 nucleotides) under uncultured bacterium. Its description in RNAcentral is "partial 16S ribosomal RNA". It matches the Rfam family "Bacterial small subunit ribosomal RNA", at positions 510 to 810 of the family's 1533-position model. The record is from RNAcentral.
AGCAGCCACGGUAAUACGAAGGGUGCAAGCGUUAAUCGGAAUUACUGGGCGUAGAGCGUGCGUAGGCGGUUUGUUAAGUUUGUUGUGAAAUCCCCGGGCUCAACCUGGGAAUGGCAAUGGAUACUGGCAAGCUAGAGUGUGUCAGAGGAUGGUGGAAUUCCCGGUGUAGCGGUGAAAUGCGUAGAGAUCGGGAGGAACAUCAGUGGCGAAGGCGGCCAUCUGGGACAACACUGACGCUGAGGCACGAAAGCGUGGGGAGCAAACAGGAUUAGAUACCCCCGUAGUCCCUGUCCUCUUAUAC